This 551-nucleotide ribosomal RNA is filed under the name uncultured Glomeromycotina. RNAcentral describes it as "SSU rRNA". It matches the Rfam family "Eukaryotic small subunit ribosomal RNA", at positions 548 to 1098 of the family's 1831-position model. Lineage: Eukaryota; Fungi; Glomeromycota. The record is from RNAcentral.
UUGGAGGGCAAGUCUGGUGCCAGCAGCCGCGGUAAUUCCAGCUCCAAUAGCGUAUAUUAAAGUUGUUGCAGUUAAAAAGCUCGUAGUUGAAUUUCGGGAUCAAUACGUCGGUCGUGCUUUUUUGGUACGCACUGGCGUUAUUGGUUUCUCCUUUCUGACGAAGCAUGAUGUCAUUAAUUUGGUGUCGUGGGGAAUCAGGACUGUUACUUUGAAAAAAUUAGAGUGUUUAAAGCAGGCAUUAGCUUGAAUACAUUAGCAUGGAAUAAUGAAAUAGGACGUUCGAUCCUAUUUUGUUGGUUUCUAGGAUCAACGUAAUGAUUAAUAGGGAUAGUUGGGGGCAUUAGUAUUCAAUUGUCAGAGGUGAAAUUCUUGGAUUUAUUGAAGACUAACUACUGCGAAAGCAUUUGCCAAGGAUGUUUUCAUUAAUCAAGAACGAAAGUUAGGGGAUCGAAGACGAUCAGAUACCGUCGUAGUCUUAACCAUAAACUAUGCCGACUAGGGAUCGGAUGAUGUUAAUUUUUUAAUGACUCAUUCGGCGCCUUACGGGAAAC